RNAcentral lists this ribosomal RNA (460 nucleotides) under uncultured bacterium. Its description in RNAcentral is "partial 16S ribosomal RNA". It matches the Rfam family "Bacterial small subunit ribosomal RNA", at positions 338 to 795 of the family's 1533-position model. The record is from RNAcentral.
CCUACGGGGUGCUGCAGUGAGGAAUAUUGGUCAAUGGCCGGAAGGCUGAACCAGCCAUGACGCGUGAAGGUCAGUGCCCUAUGGGCGUUAAACUUCUUUUGUGCGGGAGCAAUAAUGGUCACGUGUGGCCAGACGAGAGUACCGUACGAAUAAGCAUCGGCUAACUCCGUGCCAGCAGCCGCGGUAAUACGGGGGAUGCAAGCGUUAUCCGGAUUUAUUGGGUUUAAAGGGUGCGUAGGCUGUGAGGUAAGUCAGCGGGGAAAUGCCCCCGCUCAACGGGGUGAAGUGCCAUUGAUACUGCCUUGCUGGAAUGCGGAUGCCGUGGGAGGAAUGUGUGGUGUAGCGGUGAAAUGCAUAGAUAUCACACAGAACACCGAUUGCGAAGGCAUCUCACGAAUCCGCGAUUGACGCUGAUGCACGAAAGCGUGGGUAUCAAACAGGAUUAGAUACCCUAGUAGUC